GUUGUGGUGGUGGAGUUUGUUGCAGAAAUAGUAGAUUUCUGUGAUUUUCUGUUACCAACACAAGCAGAGAAAGCUGAGCGUGAUGAGGCAGUGGCGAGUGUGUCAAGUGUUAUUAAGUAUAUCUGGCCGAGUUGCAAGGUUGAGGUUUUUGGGUCAUACAGGACAGGGCUGUAUCUUCCAACAAGUGAUAUAGAUGUGGUGAUUCUGGAAUCAGGUCUCACUAAUCCACAGCUAGGUUUACGCGCACUCUCCAGGGCAUUGUCACAAAAGGGAAUUGCA
This is a non-coding RNA of Camelina sativa (false flax), 279 nucleotides long. The record is from RefSeq and is a predicted model, not a curated record. Lineage: Eukaryota; Viridiplantae; Streptophyta; Magnoliopsida; Brassicales; Brassicaceae.